CUCUGGGUGGAGCAGCCUUGUAGCUCGUCGGGCUCAUAAGCCGAAGGUCGUCGGUUCAAAUCCGGCCCCCGCAACCA
Molecule: transfer RNA, 77 nt
Filed under: Escherichia coli
Lineage: Bacteria; Pseudomonadati; Pseudomonadota; Gammaproteobacteria; Enterobacterales; Enterobacteriaceae
Description: tRNA-Met
Rfam family: tRNA (bases 5-69)
About the family: Transfer RNA (tRNA) molecules are approximately 80 nucleotides in length. Their secondary structure includes four short double-helical elements and three loops (D, anti-codon, and T loops).
Source: RNAcentral